AGCGUAGGCGGAUUUUUAAGUGGGAUGUGAAAUACCCGGGCUUAACCUAGGUGCUGCAUUCCAAACUGGAAGUCUAGAGUGCAGGAGAGGAAAGUGGAAUUCCUAGUGUAGCGGUGAAAUGCGUAGAGAUUAGGAAGAACACCAGUGGCGAAGGCGACUUUCUGGACUGUAACUGACGCUGAGGCUCGAAAGCGUGGGGAGCGAACA
RNAcentral lists this ribosomal RNA (207 nucleotides) under uncultured bacterium. RNAcentral's name for it is "partial 16S ribosomal RNA". It matches the Rfam family "Bacterial small subunit ribosomal RNA", at positions 568 to 774 of the family's 1533-position model. The record is from RNAcentral.